Physella acuta is the source of this 223-nucleotide long non-coding RNA. RefSeq lists it as uncharacterized. The record is from RefSeq and is a predicted model, not a curated record. Lineage: Eukaryota; Metazoa; Mollusca; Gastropoda; Physidae.
GUGAACAUUUCCCACUCGGAUAACUUCAAAGUCUACCUGAUUACACUCAAGGCGACACCUGUGUUAGCACUACCCGUUUAAACUUAAGUCUGCAUCUGUGUAAUUACUUCGAGGUCUAAGUGAAUCUACAGCCUACACAAAUCUAAACAACGAUGCUAAAAAUAACGUUUGUAAUCCUUUUUGCUAUUAUCGUGAAUGUUGCUUUCACGGUGGUAUUUCCACG